AGUGACAAAUGAGCCAACCCGCAACUUUCCACUGCUGGGCGCGCGAAUAUCCCAAGUUUUGAAUGUGAAUCGAAUACUACACACUAACUACCCGUAAUCAAAAAUGAACAUUUCGGUAUCUUGUAAUAUUUGAAACUAACUAAAUACAUUGCAAGAAUCGAAUAUUUGUAUGUUCAGUGUUCUCCGUCUGCUAAACAAGGUAUCAGAAAUUAUCGGAGCGUAAACAAAUUUCAAAUUCCUGGGCUAAAAGCUACGCAAAAGGCUUGGCUGUGGCCCAAAGGACCUUACAAGGUAGUAGCAUUUACAAAACGCAAUCACUUCAAAAACCGUCUUCUGCCUUUGCAGGUUGGCUGCACUCAGCAUAAACCAAGAUUCGAUGACCAGCAGCCCAGUGAUAUCAAGCCCUACGUCAUCACCGGACGCCUACAAAAGAACUGCCACCGGGAGCUGCUCCACCCAUGCUUGGCAGCAGUGGCACCGCUUCGUUCCGUCGGCGAGCAUCUAAAAGAAAAACUGUCUUCCGCCUUUGCAGCGGGUGCCGUGCCAUGCAGUGGAGUUGCAUGCAGGAAGUGCUGCCACAACUUUGGAUGAAUGCACCAAAAGCCGGGAACGAGCAUUGUACUGUAUAGAGCAAAAUUAACAUUUCCUCAUUUCCCAAGGGGUCUUAUGUCUAUAUUAUGAAAUUGCACAUUGCACAGAUAACAGCUGGGCUAGUUGGCCUUGUUUUAUCUUUGAAUUAGUUUGUCCAGCUUUCUUUCUAAUAAUCCCAGAUAGGUAUCACAUUAGCAAAGACAGUACGAGGUGCAUCAGUCAGCCGUCCACCUGCUUAAGCGAUAAGGAAAUCGAAUUCUUUAAAAACAAGCAUAAGCGAUAAACAGAUUGUGUCAUGUCUUUUUGUUCUCUUUUAGUUAUUUUUUAAUUUCUGUUGCGCAUGCAUAUUCACAUUCGUGUUCACAUCGCGCUCAAUAAACUUUCAGUUGAGAGUCA
Molecule: long non-coding RNA, 987 nt
Organism: Dermacentor andersoni
Lineage: Eukaryota; Metazoa; Arthropoda; Arachnida; Ixodida; Ixodidae
Source: RefSeq, a predicted model, not a curated record